Molecule: ribosomal RNA, 305 nt
Filed under: uncultured bacterium
Lineage: Bacteria
Description: bacterial SSU rRNA
Rfam family: Bacterial small subunit ribosomal RNA
Source: RNAcentral
CCUACGGGGGGCAGCAGUGAGGAAUAUUGGUCAAUGGUCGGGAGACUGAACCAGCCAAGCCGCGUGAGGGAUGAAGGUACAGAGUAUCGUAAACCUCUUUUGUCAGGGAACAAAGGCGGGGACGUGUCCCCGGAUGAGUGUACCUGAAGAAAAAGCAUCGGCUAACUCCGUGCCAGCAGCCGCGGUAAUACGGAGGAUGCGAGCGUUAUCCGGAUUUAUUGGGUUUAAAGGGUGCGUAGGCGGGCUUUUAAGUCAGCGGUAAAAAUUCGGGGCUCAACCCCGUCCGGCCGUUGAAACUGGGGGCC